AACGAUGCCCGGUUCUACCGCACGUCCCCACGUGAGGAUGCGCCUCUGCCGUCUACCCCGCAAUACGCGACUAUGGUGGAAGCGCGAAUCACGUGGAUAGCCGCUCACAUGGUAGAGCCUCGACAAGUAAUCAAUUUGUUAAAACGGGUGAGCGGUAACGCUAUGAAGCUCCGGGGACGGAGUGAGCGUGGAUGGCCUUAUUUGGAGCAUU
This is a non-coding RNA of Rothia dentocariosa ATCC 17931, 211 nucleotides long. The record is from Rfam. Lineage: Bacteria; Bacillati; Actinomycetota; Actinomycetes; Micrococcales; Micrococcaceae.